This 24-nucleotide non-coding RNA is filed under the name Arabidopsis thaliana (thale cress). The record is from RNAcentral. Lineage: Eukaryota; Viridiplantae; Streptophyta; Magnoliopsida; Brassicales; Brassicaceae.
CCAUCGUUUGAUAGUGCAGUUCCG